CUGGGGUGAAGUCGUAACAAGGUAUCCGUAGGGGAAUCUGCGGUUGGAUCACCUCCUUACCUUAAAGAAGC
Molecule: ribosomal RNA, 71 nt
Filed under: Salmonella enterica subsp. enterica serovar Schwarzengrund
Lineage: Bacteria; Pseudomonadati; Pseudomonadota; Gammaproteobacteria; Enterobacterales; Enterobacteriaceae
Description: partial 16S ribosomal RNA
Rfam family: Bacterial small subunit ribosomal RNA (bases 1-59)
Source: RNAcentral